This 477-nucleotide ribosomal RNA is filed under the name uncultured bacterium. RNAcentral describes it as "partial 16S ribosomal RNA". It matches the Rfam family "Bacterial small subunit ribosomal RNA", at positions 28 to 507 of the family's 1533-position model. The record is from RNAcentral.
GAUUAACGCUGGCGGCGUGCAUAACACAUGCAAGUCGAACGAUUAAACUUAGUCGACUUCUUCGGAAAGACACUAAGCGGAUUAGUGGCGAACGGGUGAGUAACGCGUGAGUAACCUGCCUUACACAAGGGGAUAGCCUUUGGAAACGAAGAAUCAUACCCUAUAAAACCAUACAAGCACAUGCUAGAAUGGUCAAAGUGAUAGCGGUGUAAGAUGGACUUGCGUCUGAUUAGCUAGUUGGUGAGAUAAAAGCUCACCAAGGCAACGAUCAGUAGCCGGCUUGAGAGAGUGUACGGCCGCAUUGGGGCUGAGACACGGCCCAGACUCGUGCGGGAGGAAGCAGUGGGGAAUUUUGCACAGUGGGGGAAACCCUGAUGCAGCGUCGCCGAGUGAUUUAGAAGGCCUUCGGGUUGUAAACAUCUUUUGUAUAGGAAGAAAAUGAAAGGACUAUACGAAUAAGGUCCGGCUAAUUACGUG